GACGAACGCUGGCGGCGUGCUUAACACAUGCAAGUCGAACGGAAAGGCCCUGCUUUUGUGGGGUGCUCGAGUGGCGAACGGGUGAGUAACACGUGAGUAACCUGCCCUUGACUUUGGGAUAACUUCAGGAAACUGGGGCUAAUACCGGAUAAGAGCUCCUGCUGCAUGGUGGGGGUUGGAAAGUUUCGGCGGUUGGGGAUGGACUCGCGGCUUAUCAGCUUGUUGGUGGGGUAGUGGCUUACCAAGGCUUUGACGGGUAGCCGGCCUGAGAGGGUGACCGGCCACAUUGGGACUGAGAUACGGCCCAGACUCCUACGGGAGGCAGCAGUGGGGAAUAUUGCGCAAUGGGCGGAAGCCUGAUGCAGCAACGCCGCGUGCGGGAUGACGGCCUUCGGGUUGUAAACCGCUUUCGCCUGUGACGAAGCGUGAGUGACGGUAAUGGGUAAAGAAGCACCGGCUAACUACGUG
RNAcentral lists this ribosomal RNA (468 nucleotides) under uncultured bacterium. RNAcentral's name for it is "partial 16S ribosomal RNA". It matches the Rfam family "Bacterial small subunit ribosomal RNA", at positions 28 to 507 of the family's 1533-position model. The record is from RNAcentral.